GCAUCGAUGAAGAACGCAGCCAGUUGCGAUAAGUAAUGUGAAUUGCAGAAUUCAGUGAAUCAUCGAAUCUUUGAACGCAAAUUGCGCUCUUUGGAUACCCAGGGAGCACGUUUGUCUGAGUGUCGUUUAAAUUUCUACACACUUUGGUGUGGUGUGAAGGCUCGGGUCAGUUAUUCUUCGGAAUUUAACCGACCCGUCCUUUUGAGACUCUGAACCUAGCAACAUUUGAUUCAAUUGGUGCUUGGAAGGCUCAACUUGCUUCUGUCCUUCUUUUUAUCAAUUGUCAUAUGUUAACAGCGUUCUCUGGCCUAACGGCCAAAUUCUUAUUUUUUGACCUCAGAUCAAGCGAGACUACCCGCUGAGUUUAAGCAUAUCAAUAAGCGGAGGA
This 388-nucleotide ribosomal RNA is filed under the name uncultured fungus. RNAcentral's name for it is "eukaryotic LSU rRNA". The stretch from base 1 to 125 matches the Rfam family "5.8S ribosomal RNA", at positions 30 to 154 of the family's 154-position model. Lineage: Eukaryota; Fungi. The record is from RNAcentral.